Molecule: ribosomal RNA, 463 nt
Filed under: uncultured bacterium
Lineage: Bacteria
Description: partial 16S ribosomal RNA
Rfam family: Bacterial small subunit ribosomal RNA
Source: RNAcentral
AGUGAACGCUGGCGGCGUGCCUAAUACAUGCAAGUCGAACGAUGAAGUCCUAGCUUGCUAGGAUGGAUUAGUGGCGCACGGGUGAGUAAUAUAUAGUUAAUCUGCCCUACACAGAGGAACAACAGUUGGAAACGACUGCUAAUACCUCAUACUCCUAUUUGACAUAAGUUAAAUAGGGAAAAUCUUUUCGGUGUAGGAUGAGACUAUAUCGUAUCAGCUAGUUGGUAAGGUAAUGGCUUACCAAGGCUAUGACGCGUAACUGGUCUGAGAGGAUGAUCAGUCACAUUGGAACUGAGACACGGUCCAAACUCCUACGGGAGGCAGCAGUAAGGAAUAUUGCGCAAUGGGGGAAACCCUGACGCAGCAACGCCGCGUGGAGGAUGACACUUUUCGGAGCGUAAACUCCUUUUAUCAGGAAAGAAUAAUGACGGUACCUGAUGAAUAAGCACCGGCUAACUCCGUG